AUAUCCCAAAAAGGAGACGCGUGGCGUCGCCGUCGAUUUCACGCCCACCGGAGAGAGAGAGAGAGAGAGAGAGAGAUGGCGGAGCUUACUGUGAUUCUGUACAUGCUUACAAUUUCUCUCUUUACGGCAACCGUCUCAGCCUCUCCGUGUCCAGCUAAUGGAUUACCACUAGUGAGGAAUAUCAGUGAGCUACCACAAGAUAACUAUGGAAGGCCUGGGUUAUCUCACAUUACCAUUGCAGGUUCGCUCAUGCAUGGGCUGAAAGAGGUUGAGAUAUGGCUUCAAACGUUUGCACCAGGAACACGCACACCGAUUCAUAGGCAUUCAUGUGAGGAAGUUUUUGUAGUCCUAAAAGGGAGUGGGACUCUUUAUCUUGCCUCAAAUUCUCAUGCAAAGUCCCCUGGCAAGCCAGAAGAGUUUAGAAUCUUUUCAAAUAGCACAUUUUUCGUCCCUGUUAAUGAUGCUCACCAGCUCUGGAACACAAAUGAAGAAGAAGAUUUGCAAGUUUUGGUUAUAAUAUCUCGUCCACCAAUUAAAAUAUUCAUGUAUGACGAUUGGCUGGUGCCACACACUGCGGCCAAACUGAAGUUCCCAUAUUUGUGGGAUGAACAAUGCUACCAGUCAACUUUAAAAGAUGARCUUUGACCUUCAGGCCAUAACGUUACAAGUUUCGCUGAUAUGCCAUCCUGUUCUCUUGUAAGUCUCUCGUGGAGCGUAAGCGGGUUCUUGUUCUUCAACAGCAGUUUGAAACUCCAUCCACAAAUUUAGAAGGGGAUAUCUCGACAAUGAAGAUAUGUUUAUGGAUCAUUAUACAACAUCGAAAUAGACURGAGUACGGUGAGUUCGUUGGUGUUUCUUGUUCUUGGUUCAUUCACAUUUUCAUGGAUACCAUUAAAAUAGGAUUCGAGACGGUUGUUUACUAGCCACSUUUUUUAUACCAAUGAGAAGAGUUGUAAAACGAAUGAUGGUUGGUUUGUGCAAGAUCUUAAAAAGAGUCGAAUAAACGAGAUUCGCAUAGUUGCUACUUGUUAAAGCGUACAAAGAAACACACUKGAAGUAAUUUUUGGUCAAUUUUUGAUGUAAUUCUGUAACAAAAACAAAUACGAUGCACGUUUG
Molecule: RNA transcript, 1116 nt
Organism: Cynara cardunculus var. scolymus (artichoke)
Lineage: Eukaryota; Viridiplantae; Streptophyta; Magnoliopsida; Asterales; Asteraceae
Gene name: auxin-binding protein T85
Exons: 6
Source: RefSeq, a predicted model, not a curated record